CAAUUGUCCUAAUAGCCACCAUGGAUUGGAUGGAUGCUAACAACAGGCUCACAGUUCUCCUUCUGUUGCCUCCUUUUAUCCACAUGAGAAUCAAACAAGACUACUGAUUAAAUGAAGCCUUUGAUGAAGUGCAUGCAGUUUGUAGCUUGAUUCAUGGGAAUACUCAUCACAGACUGAAAGUGUAACCCAGGGUCUCUGGGUUUUUGGGAACGCGCUGUGUAAAAGUAUCUACUUGUAACUGUUACUCCCUGAGUUGUUGUUGUUUUAGAAAGUUCCAAGAAGAAGCUUAGCCUUGGAAAAAACAAAAACUGGUUGAAUCCAGAAGUGGAGAUGAAUUUUGGCCAACGCUCCUCACUGCCACACUAAAAACCCUGCUCAGAGAGGAGCUUAUUCACCAUGUUCUAUUCAUGCAAUGUGUGUGGAAACAUGAUCUACGACAGCAUGCGUGCUGCCUUCACCCUACCUCUACAUACAAUGACUCAUUUAACCUGCUGAAUAAAAGCCCUGUUUUCACCUUUGCUGGGGGAGGUGCCGCUUUGGGAACUAUUCGCAGUGUCCUCUUCACUUUUUGCAAGUAAUAGAAUACCCUUGUUAAAUCCU
RNAcentral lists this long non-coding RNA (600 nucleotides) under Homo sapiens (human). RNAcentral's name for it is "non-protein coding LINC01229:19". Lineage: Eukaryota; Metazoa; Chordata; Mammalia; Primates; Hominidae. The record is from RNAcentral.